GACGAACGCUGGCGGCGUGCCUAAUACAUGCAAGUAGAACGCUGAAGGAGGAGCUUGCUUCUCUGGAUGAGUUGCGAACGGGUGAGUAACGCGUAGGUAACCUGCCUGGUAGCGGGGGAUAACUAUUGGAAACGAUAGCUAAUACCGCAUAAUAGUAGAUGUUGCAUGACAUUUGCUUAAAAGGUGCAAUUGCAUCACCACCAGAUGGACCUGCGUUGUAUUAGCUAGUUGGUGGGGUAACGGCUCACCAAGGCGACGAUACAUAGCCGACCUGAGAAGGUGAUCGGCCACACUGGGACUGAGACACGGCCCAGACUCCUACGGGAGGCAGCAGUAGGGAAUCUUCGGCAAUGGACGGAAGUCUGACCGAGCAACGCCGCGUGAGUGAAGAAGGUUUUCGGAUCGUAAAGCUCUGUUGUAAGAGAAGAACGAGUGUGAGAGUGGAAAGUUCACACUGUGACGGUAUCUUACCAGAAAGGGACGGCUAACUACGUG
Molecule: ribosomal RNA, 495 nt
Filed under: uncultured bacterium
Lineage: Bacteria
Description: partial 16S ribosomal RNA
Rfam family: Bacterial small subunit ribosomal RNA
Source: RNAcentral